Molecule: ribosomal RNA, 495 nt
Filed under: uncultured bacterium
Lineage: Bacteria
Description: partial 16S ribosomal RNA
Rfam family: Bacterial small subunit ribosomal RNA
Source: RNAcentral
GACGAACGCUGGCGGCGUGCCUAAUACAUGCAAGUAGAACGCUGAAGGAGGAGCUUGCUUCUCUGGAUGAGUUGCGAACGGGUGAGUAACGCGUAGGUAACCUGCCUGGUAGCGGGGGAUAACUAUUGGAAACGAUAGCUAAUACCGCAUAAGAGUAGAUGUUGCAUGACAUUUGCUUAAAAGGUGCAAUUGCAUCACUACCAGAUGGACCUGCGUUGUAUUAGCUAGUUGGUGGGGUAACGGCUCACCAAGGCGACGAUACAUAGCCGACCUGAGAGGGUGAUCGGCCACACUGGGACUGAGACACGGCCCAGACUCCUACGGGAGGCAGCAGUAGGGAAUCUUCGGCAAUGGACGGAAGUCUGACCGAGAAACGCCGCGUGAGUGAAGAAGGUUUUCGGAUCGUAAAGCUCUGUUGUAAGAGAAGAACGAGUGUGAGAGUGGAAAGUUCACACUGUGACGGUAUCUUACCAGAAAGGGACGGCUAACUACGUG